UACAGAGGGUGCGAGCGUUGUUCGGAAUUACUGGGCGUAAAGCGCGCGCAGGCGGCUUUUUAAGUCCGACGGUGAAAUGCCGGGGCUCAACCCCGUGCCCGCCGCGGAUACUGGGAAGCUGGAGACAUGUAGAGGCAAGCGGAAUUCCGGGUGUAGCGGUGGAAUGCGUAGAGAUCCGGAAGAACACCGGAGGCGAAGGCGGCUUGCUGGGCAUGGUCUGACGCUGAGGCGCGAAAGCGUGGGGAGCGAUCCGG
RNAcentral lists this ribosomal RNA (254 nucleotides) under uncultured bacterium. Its description in RNAcentral is "partial 16S ribosomal RNA". It matches the Rfam family "Bacterial small subunit ribosomal RNA", at positions 524 to 776 of the family's 1533-position model. The record is from RNAcentral.